UUCAUCUGAGAAUCUAAUGAUCGUUGGUUUUCAUUCUUCGCCAUUGAUGAUUUAGCUUAAACUUCACGCUGUUGGAAUUGGUUCAUAUGAUAUGUUUCUGUGUAUACACAUGGCUAUGUUUGGAACAUGUUAGACGCGUUCCGUUCACUGUUGAUUAUAUGGUUGUUUUUGUCUGCCGAGAAAACAUGGGGGAAAAAAAAAAGGAAUUGUGGAGAUCACAUAUAAUAAUGGUGAAGGCUGUUGUUGUUCUUAACAGCAGUGAAGGUGUCAGGGGCACUGUCUACUUUACCCAAGAAGAAGACGGUCCAACUACAGUUACCGGAAGCCUUUCUGGCCUUCAACCCGGACUUCAUGGUUUCCAUGUCCAUGCUCUUGGUGAUACAACAAAUGGUUGCAUGUCAACUGGACCACAUUUUAAUCCUGUUGGCAAAGAACAUGGUGCUCCUGAGGAUGAGAAUCGCCAUGCUGGUGAUCUUGGUAACGUUGUAGUUGGUGAAGACGGAACUGCAAGUUUCACGGUCGUUGACAAACAGAUCCCUCUCUCUGGACCACAUUCCAUAAUUGGCAGGGCUGUUGUUGUCCAUGCUGACCUCGAUGAUCUGGGAAAGGGUAAUGCUAAGUGAAUGUGGCCAUGAACUGAGCAAAAGCACUGGAAAUGCUGGCGGAAGGAUUGCCUGCGGAAUAAUUGGCCUUCAGGGUUGAUUAGCCACUCACGAGUUGCAUUUUACUUUGAAAAUCUUGCAAUCGAAUCAUAACCCUGUAACUCUCUGAAAAUCAAGUUGAUAGCAAAAGGCUUGGUUGGUGAUAAUAAAGGAUUGCUUGGCAAUGGGAUUGAUAAACUUAUGGUUUGGUUUUGUAAUGCUUGUUAUCUUCCUUUUCCCAGUAGUGAAGUGAGUUUUUCACCUGGAACAAAUUUCUA
Molecule: RNA transcript, 919 nt
Organism: Camellia sinensis
Lineage: Eukaryota; Viridiplantae; Streptophyta; Magnoliopsida; Ericales; Theaceae
Gene name: superoxide dismutase [Cu-Zn] 2
Source: RefSeq, a predicted model, not a curated record